This 366-nucleotide ribosomal RNA is filed under the name Triticum aestivum (bread wheat). RNAcentral's name for it is "partial small subunit ribosomal RNA". The record is from RNAcentral. Lineage: Eukaryota; Viridiplantae; Streptophyta; Magnoliopsida; Poales; Poaceae.
AUGUCACCCCCGCCAUGCCAACUUGCUGCGACCCCUGCAGUUGGCCAACAAGAUCACAACGACACUCUUUCUGGCUCUACCAGGAGUCGAGCGACAUCGCAUUCUUCGUGUUCCAACAUGCCAUCAACCGCAAUAGAGGCGAUGGCGCGGGCCCAGAUGUUGCUGGAUUUUCCUCCUGUAACUAACAAGAUGGAUGAGUGGAGAGCCACCAUCCGGAGUUUGAUUGAUUUUGCUCAUGCAAAUCGGAGGGGAGCUCAAGAGAGCCUGGGUGGUGGGAGGGAGGCAGAGCUGCUGGACGACCCGGUGCAGCUCGGGGUGGCGCCGGAGCAUGUAGUCUACGACGGCGAGGCAAUGACCGCACGGUGA